Molecule: ribosomal RNA, 492 nt
Filed under: uncultured bacterium
Lineage: Bacteria
Description: partial 16S ribosomal RNA
Rfam family: Bacterial small subunit ribosomal RNA
Source: RNAcentral
AGUGAACGCUGGCGGUAGGCCUAACACAUGCAAGUCGAACGGCAGCACAGUAAGAGCUUGCUCUUACGGGUGGCGAGUGGCGGACGGGUGAGGAAUACAUCGGAAUCUACUUUUUCGUGGGGGAUAACGUAGGGAAACUUACGCUAAUACCGCAUACGACCUACGGGUGAAAGCAGGGGAUCUUCGGACCUUGCGCGAUUGAAUGAGCCGAUGUCGGAUUAGCUAGUUGGCGGGGUAAAGGCCCACCAAGGCGACGAUCCGUAGCUGGUCUGAGAGGAUGAUCAGCGACAGUGGAAGGGAGACACGGUCCAGACGCCUACGGGAGGCAGCAGUGGGGAAUAUUGGACAAUGGGCGCAAGCCUGAGCCAGCCAUACCGCGUGGGUGAAGAAGGCCUUCGGGUUGUAAAGCCCUUUUGUUGGGAAAGAAAAGCAGCAGGUUAAUACCCGGGUGUUCUGACGGUACCCAAAGAAUAAGCACCGGCUAACUUCGUG